RNAcentral lists this non-coding RNA (240 nucleotides) under Ureibacillus manganicus. Its description in RNAcentral is "Lysinibacillus manganicus T-box sequence". It matches the Rfam family "T-box leader". From Rfam's summary of the family: Uncharged tRNA acts as the effector for transcription antitermination of genes in the T-box leader family. T-boxes are found upstream of many aminoacyl-tRNA synthetase genes and some amino acid biosynthetic genes usually in Gram-positive bacteria. The record is from RNAcentral. Lineage: Bacteria; Bacillati; Bacillota; Bacilli; Caryophanales; Caryophanaceae.
GUAAAAUUGAUGAAUAAGAAUAGUAACGAAAAUCGUAUGGUUUAGAGAGCUAGUGGUUGGUGUGAACUAGUGCAUACCUUUCGUGAAUGGGUCUUAUGAGAGCAGCUGGCGUUAGUCUGCUGACGUUUUUCCUACGUUAUAAGGAAGUGUUUAUUUCGUUUUUAGUUAAAUAAACACGCCAAGUGGAAGUAAUUCGUAUACUUCAACAGAGGUGGCAACGCGGUAUUUAUCGUCCUCUAC